Empidonax traillii (willow flycatcher) is the source of this 251-nucleotide long non-coding RNA. RefSeq lists it as uncharacterized. Lineage: Eukaryota; Metazoa; Chordata; Aves; Passeriformes; Tyrannidae. The transcript has 3 exons. The record is from RefSeq and is a predicted model, not a curated record.
GGAGUAGAUCCAUAUUCUAUUGAAAUGUAUCAGUAACUUGUAAUCUUUAGUGUUUGGAAAUACACUUUUUUCAUCUCAAGAUCUUUGUAUGCCUUUUAAUCACUCUUCUGGAAAGUCCAGUGCAGUGCUGAUUGUGAACCUCAUAAUGUCCAGCAGCUACCCUCGUUCAAUGGGUGAAAUUCAAGGUUAAAGAACUAUUUGGAAAUCAGAGGAACAUGGAGCAAGGAAAGGAAGAUUUGCUUUAAAGCCAC